RNAcentral lists this ribosomal RNA (508 nucleotides) under uncultured bacterium. RNAcentral describes it as "partial 16S ribosomal RNA". It matches the Rfam family "Bacterial small subunit ribosomal RNA", at positions 28 to 523 of the family's 1533-position model. The record is from RNAcentral.
GAUGAACGCUAGCUACAGGCUUAACACAUGCAAGUCGAGGGGAAACGACAUCGAAAGCUUGCUUUUGAUGGGCGUCGACCGGCGCACGGGUGAGUAACGCGUAUCCAACCUGCCCACCACUUGGGGAUAACCUUGCGAAAGUAAGACUAAUACCCCAUGAUAUCUCUAGAAGACAUCUGAAGGAGAUUAAAGAUUUAUCGGUGAUGGAUGGGGAUGCGUCUGAUUAGCUUGUUGGCGGGGUAACGGCCCACCAAGGCGACGAUCAGUAGGGGUUCUGAGAGGAAGGUCCCCCACAUUGGAACUGAGACACGGUCCAAACUCCUACGGGAGGCAGCAGUGAGGAAUAUUGGUCAAUGGGCGAGAGCUUGAACCAGCCAAGUAGCGUGCAGGAUGACGGCCCUAUGGGUUGUAAACUGCUUUUAUAAGGGAAUAAAGUGAGCCUCGUGAGGCUUUUUGCAUGUACCUUAUGAAUAAGGACCGGCUGAUUCCGUGCCAGCAGCCGCAGUAA